This 173-nucleotide small RNA is filed under the name Vulpes vulpes (red fox). RNAcentral's name for it is "TUC338 (ENSVVUG00000012809.1)". Lineage: Eukaryota; Metazoa; Chordata; Mammalia; Carnivora; Canidae. The record is from RNAcentral.
UUGAUAGUUUUGGAAACUGAAGAGCUCUAAUCAUCCACAGAACAGGUACAAUAUAGCCAAUGGCAGUAGAAAUGAUUUCAUAAUGUCGUGCAAAUGCACCUCAGAUAGGUUUCUUAGGAACAUCAUGGGAUAUACAGAUUUUAAGGCUCCUUCUUGUUCAGUCUUUGCUAAGA